UGGCACCGACAAAGGGUGGCAGUCCAGCACAGGGAGUAGGAACUGAGUUUUCUGUCCUCAUCCCCUUAUUUACCAAGACCUAGCCUAGAGUGGGAUGGAGAAGGAACAUCACCCUCAGCUUGUCCACCUAUAGAUGUGUCCAGAUCAGCAGAGGCACAGCCUAGGGAUCCCUCCAGCUGCCCAGCUCCUUUGUUAACUCCGCGUUACCUCUUACCUCUUGGGAGAGCCACACCUUCUCCUGGACCCAGUUAGUGGCCAUCGGCUGACAGUCGGGGUUCAGCUGACCUGCUAGGGUCUCUUGUAGCACCUUGGUCUCUGUCUCCGCACGCCGAAGUGAGCGGGGAAAGGGAGGAAAGAAGUACUGGAAGAGCUGGCUUCCUUGCAGCCCUCGCCUGGAGAUAGGACCCAGGUUCAGCUCCAGUAAUACCAACUGAUAACAUCCCAGUUCUUCCUCCAGGGCUAUGUGAUCAUCCAUGCAGACAUCUAUCAUGAUCACAAGUCAAGAUGUCAAGUUUACACCUGUCUGUCUUCCCUGUACGACUGUGGAUUCUUUCGUACUUCCUGUGCUCAGCAU
This is a long non-coding RNA of Hyaena hyaena (striped hyena), 574 nucleotides long. RefSeq lists it as uncharacterized. NCBI's taxonomy places the organism in Eukaryota, Metazoa, Chordata, Mammalia, Carnivora, Hyaenidae. The record is from RefSeq and is a predicted model, not a curated record. The transcript is spliced from 4 exons.